RNAcentral lists this ribosomal RNA (253 nucleotides) under uncultured bacterium. RNAcentral's name for it is "partial 16S ribosomal RNA". It matches the Rfam family "Bacterial small subunit ribosomal RNA", at positions 524 to 776 of the family's 1533-position model. The record is from RNAcentral.
UACGGAGGGUGCAAGCGUUAUCCGGAUUCACUGGGUUUAAAGGGUGCGUAGGAGGGCAGGUAAGUCAGUGGUGAAAUCUCCAAGCUUAACUUGGAAACUGCCGUUGAUACUAUCUGUCUUGAAUACCGUGGAGGUGAGCGGAAUAUGUCAUGUAGCGGUGAAAUGCUUAGAUAUGACAUAGAACACCAAUUGCGAAGGCAGCUCGCUACACGAAUAUUGACUCUGAGGCACGAAAGUGUGGGGAUCAAACAGG